Molecule: ribosomal RNA, 1531 nt
Filed under: Salmonella enterica subsp. enterica serovar Daytona
Lineage: Bacteria; Pseudomonadati; Pseudomonadota; Gammaproteobacteria; Enterobacterales; Enterobacteriaceae
Description: bacterial SSU rRNA
Rfam family: Bacterial small subunit ribosomal RNA
Source: RNAcentral
AGAGUUUGAUCAUGGCUCAGAUUGAACGCUGGCGGCAGGCCUAACACAUGCAAGUCGAACGGUAACAGGAAGCAGCUUGCUGCUUUGCUGACGAGUGGCGGACGGGUGAGUAAUGUCUGGGAAACUGCCUGAUGGAGGGGGAUAACUACUGGAAACGGUGGCUAAUACCGCAUAACGUCGCAAGACCAAAGAGGGGGACCUUCGGGCCUCUUGCCAUCAGAUGUGCCCAGAUGGGAUUAGCUUGUUGGUGAGGUAACGGCUCACCAAGGCGACGAUCCCUAGCUGGUCUGAGAGGAUGACCAGCCACACUGGAACUGAGACACGGUCCAGACUCCUACGGGAGGCAGCAGUGGGGAAUAUUGCACAAUGGGCGCAAGCCUGAUGCAGCCAUGCCGCGUGUAUGAAGAAGGCCUUCGGGUUGUAAAGUACUUUCAGCGGGGAGGAAGGUGUUGUGGUUAAUAACCGCAGCAAUUGACGUUACCCGCAGAAGAAGCACCGGCUAACUCCGUGCCAGCAGCCGCGGUAAUACGGAGGGUGCAAGCGUUAAUCGGAAUUACUGGGCGUAAAGCGCACGCAGGCGGUCUGUCAAGUCGGAUGUGAAAUCCCCGGGCUCAACCUGGGAACUGCAUUCGAAACUGGCAGGCUUGAGUCUUGUAGAGGGGGGUAGAAUUCCAGGUGUAGCGGUGAAAUGCGUAGAGAUCUGGAGGAAUACCGGUGGCGAAGGCGGCCCCCUGGACAAAGACUGACGCUCAGGUGCGAAAGCGUGGGGAGCAAACAGGAUUAGAUACCCUGGUAGUCCACGCCGUAAACGAUGUCUACUUGGAGGUUGUGCCCUUGAGGCGUGGCUUCCGGAGCUAACGCGUUAAGUAGACCGCCUGGGGAGUACGGCCGCAAGGUUAAAACUCAAAUGAAUUGACGGGGGCCCGCACAAGCGGUGGAGCAUGUGGUUUAAUUCGAUGCAACGCGAAGAACCUUACCUGGUCUUGACAUCCACAGAACUUUCCAGAGAUGGAUUGGUGCCUUCGGGAACUGUGAGACAGGUGCUGCAUGGCUGUCGUCAGCUCGUGUUGUGAAAUGUUGGGUUAAGUCCCGCAACGAGCGCAACCCUUAUCCUUUGUUGCCAGCGGUCCGGCCGGGAACUCAAAGGAGACUGCCAGUGAUAAACUGGAGGAAGGUGGGGAUGACGUCAAGUCAUCAUGGCCCUUACGACCAGGGCUACACACGUGCUACAAUGGCGCAUACAAAGAGAAGCGACCUCGCGAGAGCAAGCGGACCUCAUAAAGUGCGUCGUAGUCCGGAUUGGAGUCUGCAACUCGACUCCAUGAAGUCGGAAUCGCUAGUAAUCGUGGAUCAGAAUGCCACGGUGAAUACGUUCCCGGGCCUUGUACACACCGCCCGUCACACCAUGGGAGUGGGUUGCAAAAAGAAGUAGGUAGCUUAACCUUCGGGAGGGCGCUUACCACUUUGUGAUUCAUGACUGGGGUGAAGUCGUAACAAGGUAACCGUAGGGGAACCUGCGGUUGGAUCACCU